This 76-nucleotide transfer RNA is filed under the name Candidatus Margulisiibacteriota bacterium. Its description in RNAcentral is "tRNA-Lys". It matches the Rfam family "tRNA". From Rfam's summary of the family: Transfer RNA (tRNA) molecules are approximately 80 nucleotides in length. Their secondary structure includes four short double-helical elements and three loops (D, anti-codon, and T loops). The record is from RNAcentral. Lineage: Bacteria; Bacillati; Candidatus Margulisiibacteriota.
GAUCCGGUAGCUCAGUUGGUAGAGCACUUGACUUUUAAUCCAGUGGCCGUGGGUUCGAAUCCCACCCGGAUCACCA